UAUCCCUACUCAACUGAGAACAUUAGCCACC
RNAcentral lists this non-coding RNA (31 nucleotides) under Mus musculus (house mouse). Lineage: Eukaryota; Metazoa; Chordata; Mammalia; Rodentia; Muridae. The record is from RNAcentral.